RNAcentral lists this ribosomal RNA (322 nucleotides) under uncultured eukaryote. Its description in RNAcentral is "partial 18S ribosomal RNA". It matches the Rfam family "Eukaryotic small subunit ribosomal RNA", at positions 1470 to 1796 of the family's 1831-position model. The record is from RNAcentral.
CCCUUAGAUGUUCUGGGCCGCACGCGUGCUACACUGAGUGGAUCAGCGGGUCUGGUUGCGCGAAAGCGUUUCCUAAUCUUUAAAUCCGCUCGUGAUGGGGAUUGACGGUUGCAAUUUUCUGUCAUGAACGAGGAAUACCUUGUAAGCGCGGGUCAUCAUCCCGCGCUGAAUACGUCCCUGCCCUUUGUACACACCGCCCGUCGCUCCUACCGAUUGAGUGGUCCGGUGAGGCUUUGGGAUCUGAGCGGAAAGAGCGUUUCGCUGCUUCUGCUCGGAAAACUCAGUCGAACCUUAUCAUUUAGAGGAAGGAGAAGUCGUAACA